This 253-nucleotide long non-coding RNA is filed under the name Elaeis guineensis (African oil palm). RNAcentral describes it as "long non-coding RNA (EGUI_LNC026298)". Lineage: Eukaryota; Viridiplantae; Streptophyta; Magnoliopsida; Arecales; Arecaceae. The record is from RNAcentral.
UCUCUUUUCUUCCAAGAAUAAUAAAACAUUGAUAGAAGCAUGUUUUUGUUAGACUUACUAGCUCAAGCAAAUCAUAGCAUGGUCCAACUUGGUCACUCUUAAUCAUUUGAGUUGAAAACAUCAAUUGCUAAGUGACUUGAGAAUCAUGUACUUCUGAAAAUUAGAACUUGUGAUUCCCUUACAAAGUUUCUCCCCACUUGCUACUUGGUUUGUUCUAGCAGAGGCUAAUUGGUAUGGAUAACUAGUCUUGGGG